This 1394-nucleotide ribosomal RNA is filed under the name uncultured bacterium. RNAcentral describes it as "16S ribosomal RNA". It matches the Rfam family "Bacterial small subunit ribosomal RNA". The record is from RNAcentral.
UUCGCCCUUAGAGUUUGAUCCUGGCUCAGGAUGAACGCUGGCGGCGUGCCUAACACAUGCAAGUCGAACGAAGCACUGCAGACGGAGAUUCGUCAAAGUCUGCUUUGACUUAGUGGCGGACGGGUGAGUAAUGCGUGAGCAACCUGCCUUUCAGAGGGGGACAACAGUUGGAAACGACUGCUAAUACCGCAUAACAUAUUUUGGGGGCAUCCCCGGGAUAUCAAAGGAGCAAUCCGCUGAAAGAUGGGCUCACGUCUGAUUAGCUGGUUGGUGAGGUAACGGCUCACCAAGGCUGCGAUCAGUAGCCGGACUGAGAGGUUGAACGGCCACAUUGGGACUGAGAUACGGCCCAGACUCCUACGGGAGGCAGCAGUGGGGAAUAUUGGGCAAUGGGCGAAAGCCUGACCCAGCGACGCCGCGUGGAGGAAGAAGGUUUUCGGAUUGUAAACUCCUGUCGUUAGGGACGAUAAUGACGGUACCUAACAAGAAAGCACCGGCUAACUACGUGCCAGCAGCCGCGGUAAAACGUAGGGUGCAAGCGUUGUCCGGAAUUACUGGGUGUAAAGGGAGCGCAGGCGGGAAGACAAGUUGGAAGUGAAAACCAUGGGCUCAACCCAUGAAUUGCUUUCAAAACUGUUUUUCUUGAGUAGUGCAGAGGUAGAUGGAAUUCCCGGUGUAGCGGUGGAAUGCGUAGAUAUCGGGAGGAACACCAGUGGCGAAGGCGGUCUACUGGGCACCAACUGACGCUGAGGCUCGAAAGCAUGGGUAGCAAACAGGAUUAGAUACCCUGGUAGUCCAUGCCGUAAACGAUGAUUACUAGGUGUUGGGGGAUUGACCCCCUCAGUGCCGCAGUUAACACAAUAAGUAAUCCACCUGGGGAGUACGACCGCAAGGUUGAAACUCAAAGGAAUUGACGGGGGCCCGCACAAGCAGUGGAGUAUGUGGUUUAAUUCGAAGCAACGCGAAGAACCUUACCAGGUCUUGACAUCCGAUGCAUAGCACAGAGAUGUGUGAAAUCCUUCGGGACAUCGAGACAGGUGGUGCAUGGUUGUCGUCAGCUCGUGUCGUGAGAUGUUGGGUUAAGUCCCGCAACGAGCGCAACCCUUAUUGCCAGUUACUACGUUAAGAGGACUCUGGCGAGACUGCCGUUGACAAAACGGAGGAAGGUGGGGAUGACGUCAAAUCAUCAUGCCCUUUAUGACCUGGGCUACACACGUACUACAAUGGCGUUAAACAAAGAGAAGCAAGACCGCGAGGUGGAGCAAAACUCAAAAACAACGUCUCAGUUCAGAUUGCAGGCUGCAACUCGCCUGCAUGAAGUCGGAAUUGCUAGUAAUCGCGGAUCAGCAUGCCGCGGUGAAUACGUUCCCGGGCCUUGCACUCACCGCCCGUCA